UCUCCUGGAAACGGGUGGUAAUGCCGGAUGUUCCACAUGAGCGCAUGCGAGUGUGGGAAAGGCUUUUUGCGGCAUGGGAUGGGGUCGCGUCCUAUCAGCUUGUUGGUGGGGUAACGGCCUACCAAGGCGUUGACGGGUAGCCGGCCUGAGAGGGCGACCGGCCACAUUGGGACUGAGAUACGGCCCAGACUCCUACGGGAGGCAGCAGUGGGGAAUAUUGCACAAUGGGCGCAAGCCUGAUGCAGCGACGCCGCGUGCGGGAUGGAGGCCUUCGGGUUGUAAACCGCUUUUGUUCAAGGGCAAGGCACGGUUUCGGCCGUGUUGAGUGGAUUGUUCGAAUAAGCACCGGCUAACUACGUGCCAGCAGCCGCGGUAAUACGUAGGGUGCAAGCGUUAUCCGGAUUUAUUGGGCGUAAAGGGCUCGUAGCGGUUCGUCGCGUCCGGUGUGAAAGUCCAUCGCUUAACGGUGGAUCCGCGCCGGGUACGGGCGGGCUUGAGUGCGGUAGGGGAGACUGGAAUUCCCGGUGUAACGGUGGGAAUGUGUAGAUUAUUCGGGUAGACACCAA
This 566-nucleotide ribosomal RNA is filed under the name uncultured Bifidobacterium sp. RNAcentral's name for it is "bacterial SSU rRNA". It matches the Rfam family "Bacterial small subunit ribosomal RNA", at positions 146 to 712 of the family's 1533-position model. The record is from RNAcentral. Lineage: Bacteria; Bacillati; Actinomycetota; Actinomycetes; Bifidobacteriales; Bifidobacteriaceae.